Molecule: long non-coding RNA, 577 nt
Filed under: Oryza brachyantha (malo sina)
Lineage: Eukaryota; Viridiplantae; Streptophyta; Magnoliopsida; Poales; Poaceae
Description: long non-coding RNA (OBRA_LNC003321)
Source: RNAcentral
GGGGGUGGGGGGCGCCCCGUCUGUGCUCAUCUCCGCCGGCGCUAGCCACUGCGUUGCCCACACCACCGCCUACCGCGACGAAGAAGGGCAGUGGGCUGCUGCUCUACGGUUGGGGGUGGGGCGACCUCGGGAGGCCCGGCCAUGGCAGCCCCAGCGACGUGUUCAACCCACAGCCCAUGACUUCGGGAGGCUUCGUCCUGCUCUUUCUCGUGCAGGAUUCGUUGUUGAUUGGUUUCAGCUGGAGGCUCGAGCAAAAUGUGCAGCUUCACCUUGCAACACCGACGACUCCUUGCUAGCACAUGUAGCCUGAUUUGUUCUUGAGGGACUUAGCUGCUCGCCGGAUCUCAGUGAUCGAAAGUCACAUGUGCCCCAUGCGUUUAUUCCGGUCAAGACGUAAAAUGAUAACCCCUGAUGCCUCGCAAUUCCAACGAGGAGGAGCCUACACUCUUGCAGGCUGUUACAUGGCUGGGGUGAGCUUUAUCUCUUUCGAGGAUUGUUUAUCUCUAUUCCUCAGUUGUUGAUAGUCUCGCUUCAUCUGAUAUUUAAUAGUGACCUCGAUUGUUUAUCUCUAUUCCUC